RNAcentral lists this ribosomal RNA (193 nucleotides) under uncultured eukaryote. RNAcentral describes it as "partial 18S ribosomal RNA". It matches the Rfam family "Eukaryotic small subunit ribosomal RNA", at positions 1 to 191 of the family's 1831-position model. The record is from RNAcentral.
UAACCUGGUUGAUCCUGCCAGUUAGCAUAUGCUUGUCUCAAAGAUUAAGCCAUGCAUGUCUAAGUAUAAACAACUUUAUACUGUGAAACUGCGUACAGCUCAUUAAAUCAGUUAUUAUUUAUUUGAUGGUAUCUCACUACAUGGAUAACCGUAGUAAUUCUAGAGCUAAUACAUGCGAAAAGUCCCAACUCAC